RNAcentral lists this ribosomal RNA (330 nucleotides) under uncultured eukaryote. RNAcentral's name for it is "partial 18S ribosomal RNA". It matches the Rfam family "Eukaryotic small subunit ribosomal RNA", at positions 1470 to 1796 of the family's 1831-position model. The record is from RNAcentral.
CCCUUAGAUGUUCUGGGCCGCACGCGCGCUACACUGAUGCAUUCAACGAGUCUAAAACCUGGUCUGAUAGGGCUGGGUAAUCUUUUGAAUGUGCAUCGUGAUUGGGAUAGAUGAUUGCAAUUCUUCAUCUUCAACGAGGAAUGCCUAGUAAACGCAAGUCAUCAGCUUGCAUUGAUUACGUCCCUGCCCUUUGUACACACCGCCCGUCGCUCCUACCGAUUGAAUGUUCCGAUGAAUACCGUGGACUGAGAGUAUGAAUGGGUUCGCCUAUUUCUGCUUCUCGGGAAGUGGAGUAAAUCUUAACAUUUAGAGGAAGGAGAAGUCGUAACA